CAACUGCAUAUGCUGAAUUCCCUGAACAGGGAAACGGGGGAACCAUCGAAUCCGUCCGCGUCGCCGCGGCGGUUUCCCGGGGUGAAUCCUUCCUGCGCGCAGCGCGGAAGGUAGGGCACUCUCAAGCCCGAAUCCGACAGCUAACCUCGUAAGCCGAUUGAGAGAACCG
This 169-nucleotide small RNA is filed under the name Paenibacillus sp. RNAcentral's name for it is "c-di-AMP sequence". It matches the Rfam family "c-di-AMP riboswitch aptamer (ydaO/yuaA leader)". Rfam says of the family: This family represents a conserved RNA structure found upstream of the ydaO and yuaA genes in Bacillus subtilis and related genes in other bacteria. RNAcentral also lists the same sequence under 1 other name. The record is from RNAcentral. Lineage: Bacteria; Bacillati; Bacillota; Bacilli; Caryophanales; Paenibacillaceae.